UUUCUUCUCAGUGUAUCGCUCCCGGAAGAAGUGGUAACAAGACAGAGCAAAAACCCUAGCUCCGAUCAAACAUUAUACAAAUUAAUAUCCGAUGGAGCCUGACGAGGAUUUAGGGCUAAUAGCCGAAGAGAUCUACGCCAACGGCGAUGAGAACAAGCAGCGUCAUCGGCCGAUUAUCAGCGGCGAGCAGCUCGAUAUUGAGGCGUACGCCGCCUUGUACAGUGGCCGGACAAAAAUCAUGAGGCUUCUCUUCAUAGCCGAUCGAUGUGGCAAUGCUUCAAUGCAAUUGGAGGCUUUGAGAAUGGCCUAUGAUGAGAUUAAGAAAGGGGAAAACACACAAUUGUUCCGUGAGGUUGUGCAGAAAAUCGAUGGACGUUUGGGCACUAAUUAUGGGCCAGACCCUGCUUGGGCUGACUCUGUGGAUCGCCGGGCUGAUCUGAGGAAGGAGAAGCUUGAGAGCGAACUCAACGCUUAUAGGACAAAUCUGAUCAAAGAGAGCAUUAGGAUGGGAUACAAUGAUUUUGGGGAUUUCUACUAUGCACAUGGACAGCUUGGAGAGGCAUUUAAGAAUUAUGUUCGUACACGUGAUUAUUGCACGACUGCGAAACACAUAAUCCAUAUGUGUUUGAAUGCGAUUCUGGUCAGCAUUGAGAUGGGCCAGUUCACACAUGUUACAAGCUACGUCAGUAAGGCGGAGCAAAGCCAAGAUGCUCUAGAUGCUAUUACAGUUGCAAAACUUCGUUGUGCUGCUGGGUUGGCUCACUUAGAGGCAAAGAAAUAUAAGCUUGCUGCUCGAAAGUUCCUGGAAGUUGGUCCAGAAUUAGGUAACAACUACACUGAAGUUAUUGCACCCCAAGAUGUUGCUACUUAUGGUGGACUCUGUGCGCUUGCAAGUUUUGACCGAGCAGAACUGAAGAGCAAAGUUAUUGACAAUAUAAACUUCAGAAAUUUCUUAGAGCUGGUACCCGAGAUAAGGGAGCUCAUUCAUGAUUUCUAUACAAGUCACUAUGCUUCUUGUCUGGAGUAUCUAGGGAAUCUUAAAGCAAAUCUGUUGCUCGACAUCCAUUUGCAUGAUCAUGUCGAGACACUGUAUGAUCAAAUCCGUAGCAAAGCUUUGAUACAGUAUACCCACCCAUUUGUCUCGGUUGAUUUGAAUAUGAUGGCUAAUGCUUUCAAGACGAGUGUUGCCGGGUUGGAAAAGGAACUUGAAUCUUUGAUCACUGACAACCAAAUUCAGGCUCGAAUUGACUCACACAACAAAAUUUUGUAUGCACGACAUGCUGAUCAGAGAAAUGCAACCUUCCAGAAGGUGCUGCAGACAGGCAAGGAAUUCGAUCGGGAUGUGAGAUCAAUGCUUUUGAGAGCAAACCUUCUCAAGCAUGACUACAUUGCUAGAACGUCAAGAAAACAUUGAAACGGAGGAGGAUGGUAGCACACAGUUUUGUUUUCCUUGAUUGCGAGGUUACGUAUGCUGCAUGAAGUUGACCAGACAAUUGUCUACAGAAGUUGGUUGAGUCUUGGAAAGCCAUGUCUUUUGGGGGCUCGAGAAAUUUUCCUGGAUAAUAGAGGGGACUGCUGUUCAUAUUUAUAGAUUUACCAGUUGCUGGAAAAGUAAAUAUUUUUUGCCUGGUCCUACUUGCUGCAACCUUUCUCUGUGAUGUGUCAUCAACGAAUGCUAAUCCAUUUAGUACCUUGUUUUUUUGUUCAUUCAAGAUGAAAGAUUCCAUGUAGCCUAUAUUGUUGAUGCUUAUACGUAUUCAUUAAUGGUCAUUAG
This 1774-nucleotide unclassified non-coding RNA is filed under the name Hevea brasiliensis (rubber tree). Lineage: Eukaryota; Viridiplantae; Streptophyta; Magnoliopsida; Malpighiales; Euphorbiaceae. The record is from RNAcentral.